GACGAACGCUGGCGGCGUGCUUAACACAUGCAAGUCGAACGGAAAGGCCCUGCUUUUGUGGGGUGCUCGAGUGGCGAACGGGUGAGUAACACGUGAGUAACCUGCCCUUGACUUUGGGAUAACUUCAGGAAACUGGGGCUAAUACCGGAUAGGAGCUCCUGCUGCAUGGUGGGGGUUGGAAAGUUUCGGCGGUUGGGGAUGGACUCGCGGCUUAUCAGCUUGUUGGGGGGGUCGUGGCUUACCAAGGCUUUGACGGGUAGCCGGCCUGAGCGGGUGACCGGCCACAUUGGGCCUGGGAUACGGCCCAGCCUCCUACGGGAGGCAGCAGUGGGGAAUAUUGCACAAUGGGCGGACGCCUGAUGCAGCAACGCCGCGUGCGGGAUGACGGCCUUCGGGUUGUAAACCGCUUUCGCCUGUGACGAAGCGUGAGUGACGGUAAUGGGUAAAGAAGCACCGGCUAACUACGUG
RNAcentral lists this ribosomal RNA (468 nucleotides) under uncultured bacterium. Its description in RNAcentral is "partial 16S ribosomal RNA". It matches the Rfam family "Bacterial small subunit ribosomal RNA", at positions 28 to 507 of the family's 1533-position model. The record is from RNAcentral.